Molecule: long non-coding RNA, 3304 nt
Organism: Cuculus canorus (common cuckoo)
Lineage: Eukaryota; Metazoa; Chordata; Aves; Cuculiformes; Cuculidae
Exons: 6
Source: RefSeq, a predicted model, not a curated record
AACUGACUUCAUCUAAACUGAGAGAAAAUGCUCUUACUUUAAAUAACACUGUCUAUGGGUGAUUCUGCAAUAGUGAGAUAUAGGCUAUGAAGUUGAUUUAACUUAAUUGGUACAGUCAUUUCAGGGCCUCAUUUUAGGUAACAGUGAUAUGCAUUUCUUUUGCGCAGCACCCUCCAUUUCCAUUCCCCAGGAGUCGUUUGCAACAUUUACUUGGCAGGAAGAGCAAGUUUCUCAGUUCAGCUCCUACUCUCCAGCCACUAAUCCUUCUGGAUUUGUCUGCGACUUCAACUGCAAAACACCAUCACGGUACCCAAGCCAAACAGGCUGAUUUGGCACAGGUGACAGCUUUGCCCUAGCAGCAUGCAGGUGUAGGCAGGGUUAUUUACCCACCUGAAAAGCAACUGUAGCGUGAUGGCAGGCAGCAACUCUGUCUUGUGGACUCUGCUCAUACCUGAUAUGAACUGCUGUGGUACUUUGGUAUGCAUGUAGGUUGCAAAAAUGUCCCAUAAUAAGUAGAUGUAUGAACAAAUAAUUAAAUCUCUGUAUUUAGACUCUUUUAUUUAACUAUAAAAAACCUUGUAGUGUUCUGUGUGAUUCUAAUGUCCUGAGAUUCCUGUCAAAAAUUCAUUUACCAGCAGGUUCCCAAUCUACACUCCAGGUAAAAACUUGUACAUUUGACAUUAAGGUUUAAGCUGAUGUUUGUUGAGAGUCACUCAGAGAUGGUGGAUUUUUCUCUUUCUUCAGGUUGCUUUCCUACAAGAAAUAUGGUGAAGUUCUGGCCAGCGGUAAAUACAGGGGAUAUUUUCAAGUGAUUUUAUAAGUCCCCGCUAGGUUAUCCAAGGUUGCCUCUUGGGAAAGUCCUUGUUGCUGGUGGUGACAAAAUGAUAUUACAUAGUUAGUCUUAAAAUUAGGGGAAUAUAUCUACAGUCUGCACAGAGCUGGUACUGCUCCAGGCUCUGCCAGGCUGAGCUAUGGAAGGCCCUUUCAAACUGAUUGUGAAAUCAUUAGUAAUAAAAUUUAUAAGGAUGAAAAUGAACUGUUGUGAUUUUUUUUUUGUGUUUGGUCUAUUUGCUAAGGCCAAGAGCUGUUCAGGCUGUCACUGGUUCACGGUCUACCUGCCAGGCUGCUGCUCUGUGUGGGUGCCAGUCAGUCAAACUAGUGUAAACUUGGAUGCUGGUAUGUGUAUUCAGCUUCGGACAUGGUAUGUACUCUUGUUUUUCCUUCACUUUGUAGUAGAUGGGGAGGCACCUUUUCCUGCUUGUGUUCUGCUGGAUCCUUCCACUCCUUGGGAAUUAGGUCUGGGUUUCAGAUCAUUAUAGGCUGGAAUGUACCUGAGACGCACAACUGGAGCUGAAGAAGAGGAGAUCUAAAACUCUACAGUCAAGUUGCCUGUGCUGUAAACCCAGGGACAGAAGAAGGACACCGAAGUGUCAAGAAAGACAGAUUCAAUAUUAACUAAUGAAAAUGCAAUUGCUAUGGGCAUGAUUCAUCCUUAUGAAAAGGAUGUGGAGAAAGGAAUGGAUGUUUUGAUCCCUGGAGAACUGACUAGGCAGCUAGUGUGCUGGAUGCAACGUGGAUGCAAACUCCUUGCUGUUGAAGACAACAUCAGGUUGAAAGAUUGGGACUGCAAAGCCAACGUUGGACUGUGGUCUUAGUGAUGCAUCUGCCCUCUGUGCUCAAAGUGGCUGAGGUGGCAGUCGCCAGUUAUGUCCUCCUGAGAUCUUCUGUCCCUGAACCCCUAAAAUGGGCACUCAUGCAGUUGGAUAUGUCCUAUGAAGGCUGUUGCUCAUACAAUGAGCAAUGAGAACAGGAGAAAAGGAUGCAUAAACAAGAAGAAUAUCGAAGACAGAAACAGGACUUCACAUAAAUUAGGCUCAUUUGAGGAAAAUGUCUGUUCUUGGAAAUAAAGGGUGAUCUCGGAGCUCAUGAACUCAGUUCCGCCUGGAUGAAAAUGAGACAAGCGCUCCCACCACUAAUGGCAAUUCAGUUCAUCAGACCAGACUAGAGCUCAUCUGAAGUAAACCCCUUCACCUUCCCCACCUCAUUUUUUUAAUAACAUGGGUAUUAGGUCCUCAGCACCAACUGCUUGUCUCUGUAUGUGCCUUCUAAUUGCAAUGUAGACAUAGCCUUGGGCUAUGGAGAUGGCUUCAGUUGCUACCCCACAGCUCCCUGUCUGCAUCUUGGGAAGAUCUGUAGCUUUCCCUCAUUCUGAGGAUUGUUAGUAAGUGCCUGUAAUGUUUUUCUUUUUUCUUUUUUUUUUGUAGAAGAAAAUAGCUGCUUAAAUAACAAUUAUUACUGGUAAGUGUGCACGGUACAACCUAUUGCUGCCUUUCUCCUGAAUAAGUUGUGCACAAAAUUCCCCUGAGAGGCAGAGUUACUAAGGAGUUAUCUAGAUACAUACGUUUUUGCAAGUCUUUCAUCUAACUCAGAGGUGGGAAUGCAAAUGUGAAACUUAAGGACAUCCUGUGGCUUUGUGACACUCUCUGGGAGAGAUGUACUCGUUGAGAUGAAUAGAUCGCACUCAUUCAUAUUCCUCAUUUACUCAUGUAACAUUUAUAAUAUGGAUAAUGUUCCCCCUUUACUGAGUAAUUAAUAACAGUCCAGUGUAAGUUGCAGAUGGAACUUAAAAUUACACUUCAUUGUACUUAACUGUUUCAGAUCAGCGCAGUCUGGCUUUGCAGACCUGUGCAAGCGGCAGAGCAAAGCUGUUCCGCUGCAGUGAGACCCCAGGGGACACUGUACUGCAGGUAAAUGUGAGCACUGGAUUUCCUUCAGUGUGCAUGCAGGAAUAACAGAGCAGGAGAUUUGGACCUGCCUGAUCUCCUGUCUCUGACCUCCCCAGAUGCUUUGGUUUGCUGUGUGAGCAGAACUUCUUCAAGAUCUUGCUUCCUAUUUCUUGGUUCCCUUUCUGGAAUCCUGAUUUUUUUUUGGGAUAGGAGCCAGAUGAAGCUGCUCUGGUGAUACAGGGGGACCACAGCUAAGGAACUCUUGUGCCAUGGGCUUCUUGCUCCUACUGUGCAGGACUCUGGCUCUGUAUUAUUCUUGACAUGUAGGGCUACAUGAUUUGAAACCUCGCAAUGUGUGACAGGGUCAUUGCUGAAGAACACUUUUCUUGCAGACUCUGUGUAAAGCACCCCUGCUGCAGCGUGGUGAGAACCGACCUGCCCUAGUGGCUUAGGGUCUGGUUCUGGGCAAUCCUUAAGUCUGUGCUUAAAAUAAAGGGCUCAGGUCUUGCACCAUUUCUCUCUCAAAGGUCUGCAUUACUAUCCUUCAUCUCAUCAAAUAUGUGCUUUUUUAUAGCAAU